Molecule: unclassified non-coding RNA, 218 nt
Filed under: Hevea brasiliensis (rubber tree)
Lineage: Eukaryota; Viridiplantae; Streptophyta; Magnoliopsida; Malpighiales; Euphorbiaceae
Source: RNAcentral
GCGAAGACCGCGCAGGCUGCGAUGGACUCGCUGGCUGCGGCCCAGGACUCGGUGCUUGAACGCCUCGAGAAGUCGGGCGUGCAGGGCGCCUGCGGACCGAAGCUCAACAAGAAGGAAACCGCGGAGUUCUGGUUCGCCAAGUCGGAGAAGGACGGCAACAUUGCUCCGCAGCGCAAGCUGGCGAACGAGAAGCCGAAGGGCGAAACCGUCGACUACGA